UACGUAGGGUGCAAGCGUUAAUCGGAAUUACUGGGCGUAAAGCGUGCGCAGGCGGUUAUGUAAGACAGAUGUGAAAUGCCCGGGCUUAACCUGGGAACUGCAUUUGUGACUGCAUGGCUAGAGUUUGGCAGAGGGGGGUAGAAUUCCACGUGUAGCAGUGAAAUGCGUAGAGAUGUGGAGGAACACCAAUGGCGAAGGCAGCCUUCUGGGCCAACACUGACGCUCAUGCACGAAAGCGUGGGGAGCAAACAGG
Molecule: ribosomal RNA, 253 nt
Filed under: uncultured bacterium
Lineage: Bacteria
Description: partial 16S ribosomal RNA
Rfam family: Bacterial small subunit ribosomal RNA
Source: RNAcentral